This 917-nucleotide ribosomal RNA is filed under the name uncultured bacterium. RNAcentral describes it as "bacterial SSU rRNA". It matches the Rfam family "Bacterial small subunit ribosomal RNA", at positions 9 to 916 of the family's 1533-position model. The record is from RNAcentral.
GAGUUUGAUCCUGGCUCAGGAUGAACGCUAGCGGCAGGCUUAACACAUGCAAGUCGAGGGGCAUCGGGAGGGAAGCUUGCUUUCCUUGCCGGCGACCGGCGCACGGGUGAGUAACACGUAUGCAACCUGCCCUCUUCAGGGGGACAACCUUCCGAAAGGGAGGCUAAUCCCGCGUAUAUCGGUUUCGGGCAUCCGAGAUCGAGGAAAGAUUCAUCGGAAGAGGAUGGGCAUGCGGCGCAUUAGCUUGACGGCGGGGUAACGGCCCACCGUGGCGACGAUGCGUAGGGGUUCUGAGAGGAAGGUCCCCCACACUGGUACUGAGACACGGACCAGACUCCUACGGGAGGCAGCAGUGAGGAAUAUUGGUCAAUGGGAGAGAUCCUGAACCAGCCAAGCCGCGUGAGGGAAGACGGCCCUAUGGGUUGUAAACCUCUUUUGUCGGAGAACAAAACCCGGGACGUGUCCCGGACUGCGUGUAUCCGAAGAAAAAGCAUCGGCUAACUCCGUGCCAGCAGCCGCGGUAAUACGGAGGAUGCGAGCGUUAUCCGGAUUUAUUGGGUUUAAAGGGUGCGUAGGCGGUCCGUUAAGUCAGCGGUAAAAUUGCGGGGCUCAACCCCGUCGAGCCGUUGAAACUGGCAGACUUGAGUUGGCGAGAAGUACGCGGAAUGCGCGGUGUAGCGGUGAAAUGCAUAGAUAUCGCGCAGAACUCCGAUUGCGAAGGCAGCGUACCGGCGCCAGACUGACGCUGAGGCACGAAAGCGUGGGGAUCGAACAGGAUUAGAUACCCUGGUAGUCCACGCAGUAAACGAUGAAUGCUGGUUGUCCGGGUCGAAUGAGAUCUGGGCGGCGAAGCGAAAGCGAUAAGCAUUCCACCUGGGGAGUACGCCGGCAACGGUGAAACUCAAAGGAAUUGACGG